This 1895-nucleotide ribosomal RNA is filed under the name Salmonella enterica. Its description in RNAcentral is "partial 23S ribosomal RNA". It matches the Rfam family "Bacterial large subunit ribosomal RNA", at positions 1010 to 2803 of the family's 2925-position model. Lineage: Bacteria; Pseudomonadati; Pseudomonadota; Gammaproteobacteria; Enterobacterales; Enterobacteriaceae. The record is from RNAcentral.
GUGAAGAGGGAAACAACCCAGACCGCCAGCUAAGGUCCCAAAGUCAUGGUUAAGUGGGAAACGAUGUGGGAAGGCCCAGACAGCCAGGAUGUUGGCUUAGAAGCAGCCAUCAUUUAAAGAAAGCGUAAUAGCUCACUGGUCGAGUCGGCCUGCGCGGAAGAUGUAACGGGGCUAAACCAUGCACCGAAGCUGCGGCAGCGAACGUAUCACCCAAGACAACUUUACGGAGUUGACGAUUGACGGAGCGAAGCGACGUCAAAGCGUUCAUUAAAGUCGAGUUGGCUUAGGGAUACGUUCGUUGGGUAGGGGAGCGUUCUGUAAGCCUGUGAAGGUGGCCUGUGAGGGUUGCUGGAGGUAUCAGAAGUGCGAAUGCUGACAUAAGUAACGAUAAAGCGGGUGAAAAGCCCGCUCGCCGGAAGACCAAGGGUUCCUGUCCAACGUUAAUCGGGGCAGGGUGAGUCGACCCCUAAGGCGAGGCCGAAAGGCGUAGUCGAUGGGAAACGGGUUAAUAUUCCCGUACUUGGUGUUACUGCGAAGGGGGGACGGAGAAGGCUAUGUUGGCCGGGCGACGGUUGUCCCGGUUUAAGCGUGUAGGUGUGUGUUCCAGGUAAAUCCGGUUCACUUUAACACUGAGGCGUGAUGACGAGGCACUACGGUGCUGAAGCAACAAAUGCCCUGCUUCCAGGAAAAGCCUCUAAGCAUCAGGUAACAUCAAAUCGUACCCCAAACCGACACAGGUGGUCAGGUAGAGAAUACCAAGGCGCUUGAGAGAACUCGGGUGAAGGAACUAGGCAAAAUGGUGCCGUAACUUCGGGAGAAGGCACGCUGACACGUAGGUGAAGUGAUUUACUCAUGGAGCUGAAGUCAGUCGAAGAUACCAGCUGGCUGCAACUGUUUAUUAAAAACACAGCACUGUGCAAACACGAAAGUGGACGUAUACGGUGUGACGCCUGCCCGGUGCCGGAAGGUUAAUUGAUGGGGUCAGCGCAAGCGAAGCUCCUGAUCGAAGCCCCGGUAAACGGCGGCCGUAACUAUAACGGUCCUAAGGUAGCGAAAUUCCUUGUCGGGUAAGUUCCGACCUGCACGAAUGGCGUAAUGAUGGCCAGGCUGUCUCCACCCGAGACUCAGUGAAAUUGAACUCGCUGUGAAGAUGCAGUGUACCCGCGGCAAGACGGAAAGACCCCGUGAACCUUUACUAUAGCUUGACACUGAACAUUGAGCCUUGAUGUGUAGGAUAGGUGGGAGGCUUUGAAGUGUGGACGCCAGUCUGCAUGGAGCCGACCUUGAAAUACCACCCUUUAAUGUUUGAUGUUCUAACGUGGACCCGUAAUCCGGGUUGCGGACAGUGUCUGGUGGGUAGUUUGACUGGGGCGGUCUCCUCCUAAAGAGUAACGGAGGAGCACGAAGGUUGGCUAAUCCUGGUCGGACAUCAGGAGGUUAGUGCAAUGGCAUAAGCCAGCUUGACUGCGAGCGUGACGGCGCGAGCAGGUGCGAAAGCAGGUCAUAGUGAUCCGGUGGUUCUGAAUGGAAGGGCCAUCGCUCAACGGAUAAAAGGUACUCCGGGGAUAACAGGCUGAUACCGCCCAAGAGUUCAUAUCGACGGCGGUGUUUGGCACCUCGAUGUCGGCUCAUCACAUCCUGGGGCUGAAGUAGGUCCCAAGGGUAUGGCUGUUCGCCAUUUAAAGUGGUACGCGAGCUGGGUUUAGAACGUCGUGAGACAGUUCGGUCCCUAUCUGCCGUGGGCGCUGGAGAACUGAGGGGGGCUGCUCCUAGUACGAGAGGACCGGAGUGGACGCAUCACUGGUGUUCGGGUUGUCAUGCCAAUGGCACUGCCCGGUAGCUAAAUGCGGAAGAGAUAAGUGCUGAAAGCAUCUAAGCACGAAACUUGCCCCGAG